CGCAGAAUAUUUACUUAAAUGAGUAAAGUGAUAAUUAUAUAAUUAAAAAAAUUCUAAUAAAGUAUUAGCGAUAAAGCAAAUGAAAUGACACAAAGAAUUUGUAGUUGUCAAUUAGAUACAGCUAUACUAUUGCUUUGUGGAAAAUUUCUCUCUUUGGUGCUAAUUUUGGGAGGCUUCUUAUUAAUAUGAUUAACAAAGAAUUUAUGUUACAUGUUUAAUUUAAUGAACUAGCGUUUUCCAUUAAUUUUGAUAAAUUUUUUCCUUUUAUUGUGAAUGGUUUGCGAUUUCAUUUCCCGUAUAUAUAAAAAAAGCUUUGAUUAAUUUUAAAAUCACUUUUCAUCAUUUUUAUAUAUCUACUUGUUCUUACUAAUACUUACCGAAACCUUUUAUUAAUGCGUAAUUCAGGUGAACGUUUUAAUAUUUUAAUCAUGAUGGUAUGCAAGCCUGACUGUGUUAAUUUCAAGUAGAUUUUUAUAUCUCGGGCAGUUCUCAAACUUUUCAUCAUUAUAUUUAUAAUUUUUAAAUUGGCAGUAUUUUGCUAGCCAAAUGUCUGUGGUUGCUGAAAAAGAUGGAAAAUAUUCGAAAUAAAUAAUAUGUUUUAUUGAUACUUUCUGAUUAUCAACAUCCUACCAGAAAAGCCGCAAAAAGUAUCAAGGCAAUGCACCAUGUUGCCCAAAAGUAUUUAUGUGGCAACCCCAGAUAAAAGGUGGCAGCUGCCUAAAUUUUGGAUACUGUUGCAAUUUAUUACUUCUACUGAUGUGCUCGAAAAUAUUUUUGCAGCAUUUGUCACAUCUGUUUUGAAUCCUUAGCUACAGCUCUUGUACAUCGACGUGAACAUAAGAUAUUAAAAUACCGCUACAAAUGCCCACAUUGUUCCUAUUCCACUGAAAGGACUAC
Molecule: RNA transcript, 897 nt
Organism: Stegodyphus dumicola
Lineage: Eukaryota; Metazoa; Arthropoda; Arachnida; Araneae; Eresidae
Source: RefSeq, a predicted model, not a curated record